Mycena latifolia is the source of this 92-nucleotide non-coding RNA. NCBI's taxonomy places the organism in Eukaryota, Fungi, Basidiomycota, Agaricomycetes, Agaricales, Mycenaceae. The record is from the annotation of a GenBank genome assembly.
GUCCUCGUAGAUCAACGGUUAGAUCGUUCUCACUUGAUCGGCAGUGAAUCCUGUUUCAGAGGAAGGCGCGGGUUCGAGUCCCGCCGAGGGCA